GCUCGGAGUUUCAGGUGUCACACAGACACCCAGAGUUCCAGAGACCGACCAGGUUAUACACAGGAAGGGAAACUUUCAGAAGAACAAUUCCUUGGCCUCUGAAGAGCACUGAGUGGAAAAUUCUUAACUCUGUCACAAGUGGCCUGCGUGGCUUCUUGGCCUCAUUUUGGUUUUGCUUGGACCAGAAUUACCAGUUGUCAGCAGGCGGAGGGACCUGAAAACACAGACCGCCCAUUCCUGGGAGUGGGUUUCCCCUUUAUGCUGUGCCACCACUUCCCCUUCUCUCUACAGGACAAACUUCCUCUGAGCACCCCUGCACCUCCUGGGCUGGGAGGUGACUCUCCUGAGGACUGUAGGAACCAGUCCCUUUUGUCUGCUUGGCAGUGAGAGAUUCUGUCUGCAGGACAAGCUGGAAGGAGCCACAGGCAGGGAAGCCUCACCGUUCAAGUGUGGUCCCACCACUAGCAGCAGAAGCCUCACCUGGAAGAUUAUUAGAAAUGCAGAGCCUCUGAUUUAUUACAUAAAAAGGAAACAGCUAUCUGCACUGGAAGUUUCAGGGAGUGGCCCUCAUUCUGAGACAUGGCAGCGACUUCUCUAAAGAUAAGAACUGACCAAGGACAGGACUUUCCAAGCAAGUGGAGCAGUCCCAGCAAAGAACCCUCCUGUGUAAUGAAGAACUUAAAUGUCAUCCAAUCAUUACAACUCCCCACUUGUAAAUGUUACCGAGUAAGAGUACAUAGAUGUGCACAGAGGCCAAUAUCAUGGUGUGAGAGCCUCGGGUCCAGGGCCUUCCCUAAGGACCUUGAAGAGUGUGCACAUAGCAGCUUUUGUGAUGUAGGUCAGAUAAGGUUUGACCUACUUUCCUUGCAAAAUCAGGCCUCCUGCACUAAAUGUAAUGUAUAGCUUACCUCCUUCCUGAGCUCCGUGAGAUACUAUUAUCUACAAGAUAAUCUAUAAUGCUCCUCUCUUCCCUGCUGACUGCAAUUUAUCCUGCCCUCCGUCACAAGACCCCUGCUCCUGCACUUAUGCUCUCAUACCCAUUGGAAUGUCUUUGUCUCAAGCCCCUGUAACUGCCUUGAUCAUCUCCCCCCACGAGUGGAGUACUUGCACAUUGAGCUCUGAUCCAGCCGCCAUUCAGAGCAGCUCCUGACUUUGGAGCAACUUGACUGACUUCCAUUCCCUGUAAGCAAGCCCCAAAUAAAAGCUCAUGUCUCAAACCUUGCCUGAUGCCUUCUUUAGUCCUUCUGCUGCAAAAGCCCACUUGGGCAGUGACACAUGGCAUUGGGCUUUUGAGAAAGAAUGAGUUUUAUUGUGAGGUCAACUGGCAAGGAGGCAGGAGGCAAGGCUCAAAUCUGUCUCCCUGACACGAGAGUUAAGGGAGAUUUUAUGGGCAUGGGAAGUGAAAAUUGGGGAGAUUUGACUUGGCAUAGUACAAUUGGUUAAUUAUAGAGUUGUCCAUAUGUGAUAGAAAGGACUGUAAGCCAAAUCUUACUUUUUGAAGGACCCCUUAGAUUUGAUUUUCUUCCAGUGUCUCCUUGUCCUCAUA
Choloepus didactylus (southern two-toed sloth) is the source of this 1546-nucleotide long non-coding RNA. RefSeq lists it as uncharacterized. The transcript has 3 exons. NCBI's taxonomy places the organism in Eukaryota, Metazoa, Chordata, Mammalia, Pilosa, Megalonychidae. The record is from RefSeq and is a predicted model, not a curated record.